This 802-nucleotide long non-coding RNA is filed under the name Equus caballus (horse). RNAcentral's name for it is "lncRNA (ENSECAG00000038319.2)". The record is from RNAcentral. Lineage: Eukaryota; Metazoa; Chordata; Mammalia; Perissodactyla; Equidae.
GUAGGGGGCAAUUCGUUGGUUAUUAUCCAGAGAAGCUCUCAGGAGCAAUAAUGCUCUUGGUCGCAACUCUGAAAACCAGGGCAGCAGGCUGAGGAGCAGCCUCCACCGGUCAUGGCAAUGUUCCCAGAUCCAUGGAGCUCCAGGAGGUAGCAGGGCAAUGGGUUUCCUACCGUGUGACCCCGGGGUGAGGAGCCAGUUGGUGAGGUCCCGCACAGUGAGUUGAACAAGUGCAGUCUCCAGUAUGAUGGAAGUUCUUGGUGAAAGACAGCGGCCGCACUUUAUCAACAAGGGCGUGGCUGCCAGAUGGUGGCUCAGUCCCCGGGUUCCAUGAUGCUCCAGAACACAGAAACCUUGGCUCUGUGGUCCUGGGUGGUGGGGAAUGGAGUGGAGGUCCUGGAAAAGGAGUUGACAGAGCGAACUGAAUCUCUUAUGCACAGAAAGGAAGAAGAGCAUUGCAGAACAGUUAGGAGAAGACCAACAUAUCCAGGCUGUUAAUUUUUGACGGGAAUACCACAAAUAUGAUGCCGUGUUCUUCUUAGUACGUCAUAUCAGGAGGCACAUGCUGACACUUCAUCCUAUAUCCAGUGAUGUUGACUUUUACAACUUAGGGGCCUUGAGCCAGGCAGGAGCAUGCACAGAAGAGAUAAUUUUGAUCUGCCAAUCGAAACUCAUCCUGUCAUCACUUCCAUAUACCAGACUGCCCUCCUGAUCCCUUAAACAUUACCCCAUACCUUGGAUGGGGGAGGCAGAGUUGAGAGCCUGUCCUUCUGUCUCCUUACUAAUUGAUUGUGUAAUAAACUGC